AGUCAAUAGAUACCCGGGUAGUCCACGCCCUAAACGAUGUCUACUAGUUGUUGGUGGAGUAAAAUCCAUUAGUAAACGCAGCUAAACGCGUGAAGUAGACCGCCUGGGGAGUACGGUCGCAAGAUUAAAACUCAAAGGAAUUGACGGGGGCCCGCACAAGCGGUGGAUUAUGUGGAUUAAUUCGAUGCAACGCGAAAAACCUUACCUGGCCUUGACAUGCCACUAACGAAGCAGAGAUGCAUUAGGUGCCCGAAAGGGAAAGUGGACACAGGUGCUGCAUGGCUGUCGUCAACUCGUGUCGUGAGAUGUUGGGUUAAGUCCCGCAACGAGCGCAACCCUUGCCAAUAAUUGCCAUCAUUUAGUUGGGCACUUUAUUGGGACUGCCGGUGACAAACCGGAGGAAGGUGGGGAUGACGUCAAGUCCUCAUGGCCCUUAUGGCCAGGGCUUCACACGUAAUACAAUGGUCGGUACAGAGGGUUGCCAACCCGCGAGGGGAGCCAAUCCCAGAAAGCCGAUCGUAGUCCGGAUUGUAGUCUGCAACUCGACUAC
This 550-nucleotide ribosomal RNA is filed under the name uncultured bacterium. Its description in RNAcentral is "bacterial SSU rRNA". It matches the Rfam family "Bacterial small subunit ribosomal RNA", at positions 775 to 1319 of the family's 1533-position model. The record is from RNAcentral.